GACUAACGCUGGCGGCGUGCAUAACACAUGCAAGUCGAACGAUGAAACUUUAAUGAACCCUUCGGGGAGAAUUAAAGCGGAUUAGUGGCGAACGGGUGAGUAACGCGUGAGUAACCUGCCUUACACAAGGGGAUAGCCUUUGGAAACGAAGAAUAAUACCCUAUAAAACCAUAAAAGCACAUGCAAUUAUGGUCAAAGUGAUAGCGGUGUAAGAUGGACUUGCGUCUGAUUAGCUAGUUGGUGAGAUAAAAGCCCACCAAGGCAACGAUCAGUAGCCGGCUUGAGAGAGUGUACGGCCACAUUGGGACUGAGACACGGCCCAGACUCCUACGGGAGGCAGCAGUGGGGAAUUUUGCACAAUGGGGGAAACCCUGAUGCAGCGACGCCGCGUGAUUUAGAAGGCCUUCGGGUUGUAAAAAUCUUUUGUAUAGGAAGAAAAUGACAGUACUAUACGAAUAAGGUCCGGCUAAUUACGUG
RNAcentral lists this ribosomal RNA (477 nucleotides) under uncultured bacterium. Its description in RNAcentral is "partial 16S ribosomal RNA". It matches the Rfam family "Bacterial small subunit ribosomal RNA", at positions 28 to 507 of the family's 1533-position model. The record is from RNAcentral.